GCUGCCUACAUCGUGUGCCUUCUUCUACCCUUUGUUUAUGAGUACCUUUUAUUUUUCAUUCCUCGGUGGGGUAACCUGCCGAUGGAAUGCUUCUUAAACUCUUGUAUUAGCAUUUUAAUAUCUGAUAACCUAAUUAAUUAUUACAACUUUCAACAAUGGAUCUCUUGGUUCUGGCAUCGAUGAAGAACGCAGCGAAAUGCGAUAAGUAGUGUGAAUUGCAGACUUUAGUGAAUCAUCGAAUCUUUGAACGCACAUUGCGCCCCUUGGUAUUCCAUUGGGCAUGCCUGUUCGAGCGUCAUUUAACCCCUCAAGCACUGCUUGGUGUUGGGCGUUUUGUCUACGGACUCGCCCCAAAUCUAUUGGCAGCAGCCUUACCAGCUUCUUGCGCAGUACAAUGCGCUUCGAGAAGCCUGUGUAGUGGUGUGCAAUCCAGUAAGCAACUCUUUAUUUUGACCUCGAAUCAGGUAGGGAUACCCGCUGAACUUAAGCAUAUCA
Molecule: ribosomal RNA, 495 nt
Filed under: Ascomycota sp. OY30807
Lineage: Eukaryota; Fungi; Ascomycota
Description: eukaryotic LSU rRNA
Rfam family: 5.8S ribosomal RNA (bases 145-298)
Source: RNAcentral